Molecule: non-coding RNA, 690 nt
Organism: Piliocolobus tephrosceles (Ugandan red Colobus)
Lineage: Eukaryota; Metazoa; Chordata; Mammalia; Primates; Cercopithecidae
Source: the annotation of a RefSeq genome assembly
AUUUGCAUCACAGGCCGCUCUCUCCAGUAAGAAGAUAAGAGAGGCCUGGGAGGAACCUGCCCAGUCUGAGCCUCGGGAAGCAGCCUUGGCGGUGCCUCAGCCAUGGCCUGGACCCUUCUCCUCCUCGGCCUCCUCGCUUACUGCACAGGCUCUGCGGCCUCCUAUGAUCUGACUCAGCCACGCUCAGUGUCCGUGUCCCCAGGACAGACGGCCAGGAUCACCUGUGGGGGAGACAACAUUGGAAGUAAAAAUGUGCAAUGGUACCAGCAGAAGCCAGCGCAGGCCCCUGUGCUGGUCAUCUAUGGAGAUAGCAACCGGCCCUCAGGGAUCCCUGAGCGAUUCUCUGGCUCCAACUCAGGGAACACCGCCACCCUGACCAUCAGCGGGGUCGAGGCCGGGGAUGAGGCCGACUACUACUGUCAGGUGUGGGACAGCAGCACUGCACACAGUGACACAGGCAGAUGGGGAAGUGAGACAAAAACACCCUCCCAGCCUCUGCCACCCUCUUGCUCCAGCCCUGGGAGGCCUAUGGAUAAAACCAUGAGUUUAUCUGGCCCAGUUCACCUGGAUCUGAGCCUUUCAGGCUGCCCUUCCCUCCAGCCCCCUCCAGGAGUCUCUACAGAGCAUACUUCAGGCAGAGACAUGGCCUGGAAAGACCAGAAUCAUCUGGUGACUGGAGCUGUUGUGUAA